GAGCCAGACAAGUCCCACAGACUGAAAAUGAAGAGAGAAAGCUGUGUAUAUGUGGGUUUGAUAUUGGUCCUUCUCCUGGCCCCCCACAGUCCACCUGACCACAUCUGGAAACAAUACCUGGAUUCUUCAGAGUAAACCACUGAGCAGAUGUUUUCCACUGGACUUGAGGCCAGCUCUACAAUGAACUUACACAAUGAG
Long non-coding RNA from Mus musculus (house mouse), 198 nucleotides. RefSeq annotates it as predicted gene, 30153. NCBI's taxonomy places the organism in Eukaryota, Metazoa, Chordata, Mammalia, Rodentia, Muridae. The transcript is spliced from 2 exons. The record is from RefSeq and is a predicted model, not a curated record.